RNAcentral lists this long non-coding RNA (1465 nucleotides) under Homo sapiens (human). RNAcentral describes it as "HSALNT0106981". The record is from RNAcentral. Lineage: Eukaryota; Metazoa; Chordata; Mammalia; Primates; Hominidae.
CUUUUCCCCAUCAAGGUCUACAGUUAUCCUCAAUUUAAGUUGAAAACGAGAGGCUAAAUAUAUUGUUUUGUUUCCUAACAACAACAACAGCAACAACAACAACAACAAAAACAACAACAGAGAAUCAGAAUGGAAACAUCAGAAUUCUUCAUCCUUUGACUGCGUCAGGUUCCUACCAAGUUUAAUUUAUUCAAGCUACCAGAAAACUUAAAAGUUAAAGAAAAUCAAAUUCAUUAUUUAAGAGAACUAUCAAAAAGAUCCUGCCUGUUGCAUGGAGUAAUGAAGAACAGAGAACACACAUAGCAGCAGAUGGAGUAGAGACAUCCUUAAAAGAGGGGGAAAAACCCGGUUUUUAACAAUUGCAAUUAUUUUGCACCUCUCCCAGAGUGACUGGUUUGUCAUCUCCCAGGAACAAGCAGCGACAAUAGCCUUCCUCCUUGCAGAGCCUCUGUCACUCAGUUUAACCCCACAAAUGACCUCACAAACAACUCAUCUCAUUAUUCUUCUCUAAUGAGAAGUACACUGAUGAUGAUGAUCAUCAUCAUCAUUUUGAUGUCAGUCUAGUACUUACCUCUUCUUAGAUACAAACACUAAAAGUAAUAAUCCUUCACAACUUAUAACUUUUUUUUCAGCAUUUGAGUCUCACGAUCUUAUUAAACUAUUAUCUCAGUUUUGCUAAGUACGGUGUUUCCCAAAGUAUGAUCUAUAGAGAACCUACAUCAGCAACAUUUGGGAUGCUCGUUAAAGUACAGAUUCCUAGAUCUUACAUAAUUAACAUUUCUGAAGAUGACAAACAUGAAUUUUAAACAAAUUCCUCACAUAAUCUUUAUUCAUACUCACGAUUGAUAGCUACUAGAACAGUACAUUCAGAUCUCAAUGUGCUUACAUCCUCCCAUGGCUUCUCCCUCAACCAUGAGAAUAAAUUUAUUAUAUGUAAUUUGCAGCGAUAAAUCCACAAUACACCUGGGUAUGUUUUGGAUUGUUAGAAGUUCUGAAGCACACUCUUUCUCAUCUAGGUUUUGUUUUCUUAAUUUAAUUUGUUUUCCAAGUCAAUAUAUUUUUCCUAACUAAAUUUCUUGAACUUUAGCCAUGUGCUAGAAAGUUUUUUGAAAUAAAUUGUAUUCUCCAUUCUGGCAAACAAUGGCACUGUAUUUCUGUGUUUCUGGAAGAAGACAGAAAAUUAUUUGAGGGACUAUUUUCUCUAUUCUCUUAUCUUAGAUGCAUAAAAGUGAGGUUACUUUAUUAUGUAUGAUGAAUGCCUUAAGGCAGCGGUUUUCAAACUUUUUGGUUUCAGAACCUUUUUAUACUUUUAAAAAUUAGUGAGGAUUCAAAGAGCUUUAGCUUACAUGGCUUACAGCCAUCAAUAUUUACCCUAUUAGAGCUUAAAAUAAUUCUAUUACCUAUUUCCAUAUUGUAAAACUCAUUAAAAUUUAUGUUAUUCUCAGAACAGAUCAGAAAGACCGAU